Molecule: unclassified non-coding RNA, 268 nt
Filed under: Hevea brasiliensis (rubber tree)
Lineage: Eukaryota; Viridiplantae; Streptophyta; Magnoliopsida; Malpighiales; Euphorbiaceae
Source: RNAcentral
UCAAAGGAGCAGUUCCCAGGUUCUUCUGGAUCGCCCCUUUGGGUGCCAUGAACUUUGCAGGCUAUGAACUAGCAAGGAAAGCAAUGGACAAAAAUGAGGAGGUAGCAGCAGCUGACCAAUUGUCUCAAAAGAAAGCAGCAGCUGGUUCCGGUUAAAAUUUUUGGAUCCCUUCAUAAAGGCCGUGGUUUUGAGGCAUCUCUCCCUCUGGGUUUUCUUUUUCCCUCGCUAUAUUUUUAUAGAAAUCAGUUGGAUGGUUUUUCAUCUGUCG